GACGAACGCUGGCGGCGUGCUUAACACAUGCAAGUCGAGCGGUAAGGCCCUUUCGGGGGUACACGAGCGGCGAACGGGUGAGUAACACGUGGGUGACCUGCCCUCAGCUCUGGGAUAAGCCUGGGAAACCGGGUCUAAUACCGGAUAUGACUCCAUGACGCAUGUUGUGGGGUGGAAAGCCUUGUGCGGCUGAGGAUGGGCCCGCGGCCUAUCAGCUUGUUGGUGGGGUGAUGGCCUACCAAGGCGACGACGGGUAGCCGGCCUGAGAGGGCGACCGGCCACACUGGGACUGAGACACGGCCCAGACUCCUACGGGAGGCAGCAGUAGGGAAUCUUGCGCAAUGGGCGAAAGCCUGACGCAGCAACGCCGCGUGGGGAUGACGGCCUCGGUUGUAACCC
This 399-nucleotide ribosomal RNA is filed under the name uncultured bacterium. Its description in RNAcentral is "bacterial SSU rRNA". It matches the Rfam family "Bacterial small subunit ribosomal RNA", at positions 28 to 431 of the family's 1533-position model. The record is from RNAcentral.